AUUCCAGCUCCAAUAGCGUAUAUUAAAGUUGUUGCAGUUAAAAAGCUCGUAGUUGGAUUUGGGACUGGAGUCGUCGGGUCGGCCGCGAGGUCUGUUACUUGGCGGCUCUGUCAUUACAAUUCCCUGGGACCUGUCGUGUGCUUCGCUGUACGCGGCACGGGACUUGGGACGUUUACUUUGAAAAAAUUAGAGUGUUCAAAGCAGGCUUUUUAAGCCCGAAUACAUGAGCAUGGAAUAAUGGAAUAGGAUUGCGGUUCUAUUUUGUUGGUUUCUACGACCGCAGUAAUGAUUAAGAGGGACAAUUGGGGGCAUCCGUAUUUCGUUGUCAGAGGUGAAAUUCUUGGAUUUACGAAAGGCGAACAACUGCGAAAGCAUUUGCCAAGAGUGUUUUCAUUA
This 396-nucleotide ribosomal RNA is filed under the name Obelia sp. Its description in RNAcentral is "partial small subunit ribosomal RNA". It matches the Rfam family "Eukaryotic small subunit ribosomal RNA", at positions 582 to 975 of the family's 1831-position model. Lineage: Eukaryota; Metazoa; Cnidaria; Hydrozoa; Leptothecata; Obeliidae. The record is from RNAcentral.